CUCUCUCUCUCUCUCUCUUUAUUUUUUGGAUUAAUUAACCUUCUCUAUGCGUGUAUGAAUAUCGUUUAACUUGAACCUAGGGCAGCAAACCCACCACCUUUCAUCAUCUGCUUAAACUCCUUGUAGUUCACCAUCCCAUCUCCAUCCACAUCCACUUUCUUUAUCAUCCUCUUGCAAUCCUCUAAAGUUCUUCCUUGCUUCAGCCCCAAGGAUGCCAAAACUGACUUCAACUCGUCCACCGUGAUAAACCCAUCUCCGUUUUGAUCAAAAACAUUGAAUGCUUCUUUCAUGUCCUCGUCCUCGUCCUUCUCAUUCAUUAUCGUUUCAUAUAAUCCCCCAAACUCUUCAAUAUCCACAAACCCAUCUCCAUUAGCAUCAAUCUUUUCGAUCAUUUGAACCAAAUCCUUGUCGGGUAUGAAGAUACCCAAGUUCUGUAGCGAGUCGCUGAGUUCUUUCCUUGUGAUCUUGCCAUCUCCAUUCCUAUCAAACAUUUGGAAAACCCGGCGUAGCUCUGCCGGAUCCAUCUUGAAUUACAAAAGAGAAGUAUUACAAAAAAAAAAAAAAUAGGAAUCAAUAACGAUGAUCAAGAAACACAGUGAUAUAAACACCUAGGAAUUGAUUAAUUCUUCCUUAUUAGAAAAGAGUAGUUUCAAAGACAAAAGGGAAAAGGGAGAGCAAAAAAGGUGACAAAAAUCUGAGAUAAUUAAGUCACAGAUUCUUUUAGAUUACAAGAAAGAGAAGAUAUGUAAAUAUGGAAAAUGUCUUUAAGAGAAAGGCUAGCAAGUGAGCAGAGGCAGUGGGUGGUGGGUGGUGGUGAUUAAUAGGUUUAAAUUUGUGGAGCAAAAAGAAGAAGA
This 854-nucleotide unclassified non-coding RNA is filed under the name Hevea brasiliensis (rubber tree). Lineage: Eukaryota; Viridiplantae; Streptophyta; Magnoliopsida; Malpighiales; Euphorbiaceae. The record is from RNAcentral.